UGGUGGGCGUUCUGCGGAGGUAGGGGGUGGGAGAGGUAGACGGUACUCGGGAGGAAGUGGUGAAAUGGUUUGAUCUCUCGAUGACCACCUGUGGCGAAGGCGGUCUACCAGAACACGUCCGACGGUGAGGGAUGAAAGCUGGGGGAGCAAACCGGAUUAGAUACCCGGGUAGUCCCAGCUGUAAACUAUGCAAACUCAGUGAUGCAUUGGCUUGUGGCCAAUGCAGUAUUGCAGGGAAGCCGUUAAGUUUGCCGCCUGGGAAGUACGUACGCAAGUAUGAAACUUAAAGGAAUUGGCGGGGGAGCACCACAAGGGGUGAAGCCUGCGGUUCAAUUGGAGUCAACGCCAGAAAUCUUACCCGGAGAGACAGCAGAAUGAAGGUCAAGCUGAAGACUUUACCAGACAAGCUGAGAGGUGGUGCAUGGCCGUCGCCAGCUCGUGCCGUGAGAUGUCCUGUUAAGUCAGGUAACGAGCGAGAUCCCUGCCUCUAGUUGCCACCAUUACUCUCAGGAGUAGUGGGGCGAAUUAGCGGGACCGCCGCAGUUAAUGCGGAGGAAGGAAGGGGCC
Molecule: ribosomal RNA, 567 nt
Filed under: uncultured archaeon
Lineage: Archaea
Description: bacterial SSU rRNA
Rfam family: Archaeal small subunit ribosomal RNA
Source: RNAcentral